UAGAAUGUUCUUCUUCAGCUCCUCUGC
RNAcentral lists this non-coding RNA (27 nucleotides) under Rattus norvegicus (Norway rat). The record is from RNAcentral. Lineage: Eukaryota; Metazoa; Chordata; Mammalia; Rodentia; Muridae.